AAGAAUCCAAAAUGAAAACUACUUUUUAUGAGACAUAUAGAACACUUUAAGCUCUCCUGUAAACCUGAUUUGAUAUUCCGAGAGAUGCAUAUACACCUUAUGUUACACAAGAUCCUCACACAUGCUUGUUACUUUUACAAGCCUUUUGUUUUAAUAAGUUGUUUUAAAAACGUGUUUGUUUUUGAAUAUUUUUAUGUUUAUUGAUUAUUUGUAUAUCUACUUUGUGGAAUCACUUAUUCAAGCUUAUUGGCUUAUUUCCCAUUGGAUUGUCUUUUUCUUAUGGAUUUGUAAAAAUCUUUCUUUCUCUCUCUUUUUUUUUUCUAUGUUAUCUUCUGGAAGAUUUAUUGUUUUACUUUUAACAUGUGAAAUUACAAUCCACCUGAAAUUAAUUUGAUUUGUGUAAGGCAGGAGUAAACUCCUUCCUUCCUUCCCUCCUUCCUUCUUUACUUCUUUUCUUAAUUUAAAUAUCCUAUUGGUCCAGAGUCAUUUAUUAAAAAGACCAUCCUGUCCUUACCACACUGCACACAGCUGUGUCAGAAAUGAAGAUGUGUGGGUCUGUUUUGUCCUCUAGUUUUUAAAGUUUUUUUGUUUUUGGUAUUUUUUAAGCUUUGAAAACAACCCAUAUGUGGGUGGUAGCCUCCAAGAUGGCCCCAAUGAUCUCACUUCCUGAUAUUCACACCCUGGUGUAGUUCCCUCCCACAUUGCACCAAGAGUGGUUUGUGUGACCAGCAGAGUCCAGCAGAAGGGACGGUAUGUCCCUUCCAAAAUUAGGUUAUAAAAGAUGCUGAGGCUUUUGUUUUGUGCUCCCUCUCUCUCUCUCUUUCUCUGCCUGUCACUUGUUCUAGGGGAGGCCAGCUGUCAUUUCUUGAGGAUAUUCAGACAUUCCUGUGGAGAGAUUCACAGGGCGAAUAAUUGAGCCCUCCAUCCAACAGUCUACGGAGUGAUCACGUGAACUUAGAAAAAGAUCAUCUAGCCUUCGGAUGACUGCAGACUCGGCUGAUGGCUUGAUCACAACCUCGUGAGAGACUGAGCCAGAACCACCCAGCAGAGCUGCUCCUGAAUUUCUGACUCUCAAAAACUAUGAGAAGUAAUAAAUUUUAUGCUGCUAAAUUUUCAGGUAGUUUGUUACACAGCAAUAGACAACUAAUAACCAUUGUUUCAUUUUAAAAAUGCUUACAUAUUCAAAAAUACAAACAGUGCUCCUAAAACUGUUUCUUUUUGAGUUGCUUCUGUUGAAAUGUCAAAGGGACUAUUAAAGCAGAAGAUUACCUAGUAAUUAAUGCCUUAGUGUCAUAAAAUUACAGGCAGCUCUGACUUUGAGCACACUUUUUCUAUUGCUACAGAAAAUAUGUGGCAGCAACUGACAAAACGAGAAAAAAGCAAGAUUAAAUCUGGGAUUCCAAGACAAUUUCCAUGGGACAAUUAUGAUUCUGCUGGAAGCCUAAGAAGCCUAUUUCUUUAAAAUCCUUAGAUAAAGAGCAAUCACCUUUCUUCUUCCUUCGUCCUCUCUCUUCAUUCCUACACCAGUCUUAAGGUAUUUAAGUUAAAUUUAAGUUAAACUGCUUUAAAUACCAGCUGGAAAAUGCAGUGAAUAUCUAAGAUACAAAGUGCAGAGCAGUUUGCAUGGUGCAUAGAGUGGAUGAAGGUCAGUGUCAGGAGCUAAGACCGAGAAAAGUAAGUUGAUAGGCUUUCAUUCUUGGUCCAUAGAGCUGGGAUGAGCAAUACAUGAGUCUCCAUGGGCUGGGCUCAUUAUACCCAAGUCUCAUGUGCUCAUUCUCUCUGACUCCAGGGUCUGACCAUGAACCUGAAGCUGAUAAUUCCUGGGGCUUGUUUGUUUUCAGGACUUACCCGGCUUUGGGGCACCUGUUUCUCAUCCAGGUUCUGCUCCCUUUGCUUUCUUGUUUUGGGCAUCAUCUGACAUUUUGGGAAAAGAAUUCCCUGCUGCAAACCUGCUCCUUAGGAACUUCAUCCUCAGCUUAGUCCUCACCAGCUCCCAAGGAAGAAUUUACUAUUUUGCUUAAAUACCAUAUUUUCAAAUUGAGUGUCGCCCAACAUACACACACACACAACACUCUACAAGCUCUCACCCACCCAUGGGCCAAUGCAGGACCCAGGAUGGAGAUCCCAGCUGGUUCCACAUGCUGGUUCUUUCUUUAUUUUUAAAUUUUUUUUAAUUUUUCCUUCUCCCCAAAGCCCCCCAGUACAUAGUUGUAUAUUUUAGUUGUGGGUCUUUCUAGUUGUGGCAUGUGGGAUGCCGCCUCAGCAUGGCUUGAUGAGUGGUGCUAGGUCCGUGCCCAGGAUCCGAACUGGCGAAACCCUGGGCUGCUGAAGAAGAACGCGAGAACUUAACCACUUGGCCACGGGGCUGGCCUACACAUGCUGGUUCUUAAAGCCUUGUCUAAAGCCUCCAUAGCCACCUCCAUCUGUCCACUCCCCUCCUUGUAGCCUAAUGCCUAGACAAAUAACAAAUUGAGUUCUGAACUUUGUUGUUUUUUUAAAAGAGUUUGCUUAUAAAAAAAGGAAAUGCAGCAAGUGGAGAGAACAGUACAAUGACUCCUCAUAUCCCCAUUCACCUAAAUGCAAUAAUUAUAAAAGAUUUUGCCACAUUUGUUUUAUCUAUUCUUUUUUCUCCCUUUUGUUGAAUUAUUUUAAAGGAAAUUUCACAUAUCAUGUCAUUGCACCUCUACAUAUUUGCAUGUUCCAUUUUUAAAAUGUGGCAAUUUUCAUUUAUAACCACCAUGCCAUUAUCAUAUCCAACAAAAUCAAGAAUAACUCUUUGGCACCUCCUAAUCCCAGUCCAUAAUAAAACUUCCCCAAUUGCUCAAAAAUGUCUUUUAACAGUUAGUUGUCUAAAUCAAGAUCCAAACCAGGUCUACAAACUACAUUUCGUUGUUUGCCUUUUAAAUCUAUUUUAAUGUAGAGUCCUCUCCUCUCCCACAUCACAAUUUUAUUUUUAUAUCAUUGACUUGUUGCAGUAAUUCAGUCUGUUUCCCAUAGGCUUGUCAACAUUCUAUAUUUGUCUGUCUGGCUCCUUGGAGUGUCAUUCAACUUGUUUCCCGAUCUUCCUUAUUUCCAGAGGCUUGGUUGGAGUCAGCUUCAUAUUUUAGGCCAUAACAUCUCAUAGGUGGUGACAAAGCCUUGGUCACCCAGUCCCUCAGAAGGUCCACAGUGUCUGGUUGUUCUCUUUUUAGUGAUGCCAAGAUUGAUCAAUGGCUUUAGGUGGUGACCAUCUGAUAGCUCAUUCUAGUUUCCCAUGAACUGCUCAUCAUAUUAGUUUCAUCCAACGAUAAUCCUGAGUGAAUUGUGAAGAAGAAUCUCUGCCACAAUAGACCUGGUCCACUGGUUACCGUUUACCUACAGCACUCUUCUUUGCCCUGAACCCCCGGGAGAUAUGGCUUCCACUCAUGGCUGGAUCUUCAAGCCCUGGACAAGUGCUUCUCAA
Molecule: long non-coding RNA, 3442 nt
Filed under: Equus caballus (horse)
Lineage: Eukaryota; Metazoa; Chordata; Mammalia; Perissodactyla; Equidae
Description: lncRNA (ENSECAG00000049621.1)
Source: RNAcentral